UAAGAGCAGUGGGCAUGGGAACAUAGGGGAAAGCCAAACUUUCUUUACCUGUACAACUAAGGGUGGAGAACUGGAGAUUAGUUUAGUGUUUCCCAAUGCCUUCCAUGCCUAUUGUUCUUA
Molecule: non-coding RNA, 120 nt
Organism: Zea mays
Lineage: Eukaryota; Viridiplantae; Streptophyta; Magnoliopsida; Poales; Poaceae
Source: RefSeq, marked provisional